UUCUUCAAUUGAAGGCCGGAGGAUCAUAUCGGGUUCCAGGAGCCUCUUGAGCAGGUCCUGGCAAUCGGCCGAGAUGCUCAGAUGAGUGGGGAAGGACACCCCCUUCUGCUGCUGCCACAGCAUCUUGGGGAUGUCUGUGUCGUCAAAAGGUAGGCUGGCACAGAGCAUGACAUACAGGACCACACCCAUGCUCCAGACAUCACCUUUUUUGCUAUCGUGGGGAAUGCCCUGCAGCACCUCGGGGGCAGCAUAGGCUGUACUGCCGCAGAAGGUCUGGCUCAGCUCCCGGUGUGACUUGGGCAACACCUUGGCAAAGCCAAAGUCAGUCAGCUUCAGGUUGAAGCCCUGCAACAAGGCGUUCUCACAUUUGAGGUCCCGGUGGGCCACACCAAAGCCAUGGCAGUAGCGGAUGGCCUCAACCAUCUGACGGAAGAGGGCCUUGGCCCGGCUUUCAGGCAGUGGCCCCCCAUUCAGCACGCAGUCAAAGACAUCCCCUCCCUCAGCCAGCUCCAUUACCAGGCAGAUUUUCCCGUCGGCAGACUCCAGCAUCUCAUACACCUGGAUGAUGUUCUUGUGGUCCAGGGUACGGACGAUUUGGAGCUCCCGAGGGAGGAAUCUCUGGAUAAACUCUGAGGAAGUAAGGGGAGGAGAGAUGGGCUGGCAGAUCAGAAAGGCCCACCUCCUCACACCUGUCUCCUGCCUUCCAACUUCUGCCCACCUUGUCUGGGUCUUAUUUCUUGGCUUUCUUAAUGGUCUUAAAUGUGUCUAGCUGCUUGGACAUUGCAAAGAAUGUUCACUUCUGUUAUUUUUGUCAUUAGUAUAUCAUUCAAAAGAAGCACUCCCCACCAGCCUUGUGGACUGUUGUGAGCAGUCUGUGAGACUGGAUAUCAAGGUGCUUUAGGGACUUUUAGAGAAAGCCACAGAAUCACAAAUUAUAAGGCCUGAUUUGUCCACAGGGUGAGGGACUUUUAGAGAAAGCCACAGAAUCACAAAUUAUAAGGCCUGAUUUGUCCACAGGGUGGUGAGCCAGCUCCUCCCGCCGCUGUCCCCUGACCCCACAAUUCUUUCCAUGAGCCCUGUCUUCCUUUUUCCCAUCUCCACGGGCCUUGGCACCAGCCCCUGUUCUCUACUAGCCCUGGUUGUGGCCUCUGCCAGUCUCUGUUCCCCUGCCGGAAAGGAAAGCCUGGCUCAGGUUUUGCCUCUGAGGAUCCUUCACCUCAUACCACUUUCAUCUUGCAUUCUGUGGGGGUGUAAUGUUCCUGGACUCCCAGAACCCCUAUGUUCCCCACUGACCCACUCCAGAGCUGCCAUCGGGCUUGCUUGGUUCCAGGCCAGCGGGAGCAGGGAAUGAUCGAAUGAUCUUUCUAACAAACAGGAGGAAGCACCCACCCACCUCAGCCAGCCCUCCCUCCUUCCCUCCAAAGGGGCCCCGGCUCACCUUCUGGCCCUCCCAUCUUGUCUAUAACUUUAAUUGCCACUUUUCUUUGGUGUUUUUUGGAAAAUGCUUCUUUGACUUUUGAGUAGGUCCCUUCCCCAAUGGUCUUGCCCAGCUGGUACCCAUUGGAGAGCAGAAAGUCCUCCAUGCUGUCUAGCGCCGCCUUCCUAUCACCCUCUCAGCUCAUGCUGCCUCUGAGAGGCAGCUCUACUCCACCAUCGCCCUUGGCCUGCUCCUUUUCUCCCCAAGGACUUCAUCCGCAGCCGCCCCCAGCGUUAGAACAUUCUCUGUCUGGACACAGCGGCGGGUGGUGGGGAGGGACAGGGUCAGACAUUUUUAAGCUCCGGUGCAAUUGUGAUGUAGAUGCUGUGUGACCCUUGGCCAAAAUGGGCAGUGCCCCUACCUGCCUUCACUACCACCACCAAACCCAGCCCGGAUUAAGUCACCGCCGAGCCCGCGCCCGCGCCAGGCACUGAGUCGUAGUCCCGCCUGGGAGGGCGCUCCGCCGCGUCUGUGUGGGCCGGGAAUGCGCGGCUCCUCGGCGUGGACGCCGCCUCGCGGCGGGUUGCCCUGGCCUGCUGCGCCCCCCUCGGGUGUCCGGGGUCUGCGCGACCCCGUCUCCAGGCGCCAUGGCCAGAGCCCUCCAGUCCCCGAUUCUGGCCCUCGCUGAGUGCCAGGGGCGGCAGGGGGCACCGUUGGGGGUUCUCCAGUGGGAGGAACGUGCUCUGUGAGGUCAGCGCGCCGCGGCCCGGGUCACAAUGCUGCCCUCCUCGACGCCCGGGCCGGGCACGCCACAGAGACCUGCCCGGCUCCGCCUGGACCGGAGCGUUCUCCCGCGGCAAGGGCUCGGGCAGCUGCUUCUAGCCUGGGACCGGUCUCAGCCGCCGGGAGGUGAGCGACGGCCCAGGGGGCGGGCGCGAGGCGGCAGCGCCCGGCGACCCGGGAGAGGCCUGACCGCCACUCCCCGCGCAGAGCGCCCCGGGGCUUGGACAUGAGCGCCCAGGAGCCCCCGCAGGGUCGGAGAUUCCCCAUUGAGGCCGGAGACUCCCGUGGCCUUGCCGCCGCCCCCGAGUCCCAGGACAGCCCAGAGGCGGUAGCGACGGAGCACAACCCGGUCAGGCCGCUUCGUCGCUGCCCUGGAUGCCACUGCCUGACGCUGCUGCACGUACCCAUCGACGUCUACCUCGCCAUGGGCGGGAGCCCCCGGGCCCGCGCCACGUGAGUGCGCCUGCUCCCUGCGGCUCCGCGGGAGCUGGGCGGGAACGAGGCCCCCGCGGGCCACCACGCUGAGGUCGCAUGCGCCGAGCACGAGACAAUGAUGCACAUUUUAAAAUAAAAGAAUGAUGCACAUUUUAAUAAAGCACAGCAUAAACUGUUCUUUCC
Molecule: small RNA, 2818 nt
Filed under: Pan troglodytes (chimpanzee)
Lineage: Eukaryota; Metazoa; Chordata; Mammalia; Primates; Hominidae
Description: retained intron
Source: RNAcentral